CCUACGGGGUGCAGCAGUGAGGAAUAUUGGUCAAUGGACGCAAGUCUGAACCAGCCAUGCCGCGUGCAGGAAGACGGCUCUAUGAGUUGUAAACUGCUUUUGUACGAGGGUAAACGCAGAUACGCGUAUCUGUCUGCAAGUAUCGUACGAAUAAGGAUCGGCUAACUCGGUGCCAGCAGCCGCGGUAAUCCGGAGGAUUCAAGCGUUAUCCGGAUUUAUUGGGUUUAAAGGGUGCGUAGGCGGUCGGAUAAGUUAGAGGUGAAAUCCCGAGGCUCAACUUCGGAAUUGCCUCUGAUACUGUUCGGCUAGAGAGUAGUUGCGGUAGGCGGAAUGUAUGGUGUAGCGGUGAAAUGCUUAGAGAUCAUACAGAACACCGAUUGCGAAGGCAGCUUACCAAGCUACUUCUGACGUUGAGGCACGAAAGCGUGGGGAGCAAACAGGAUUAGAUACCCCAGUAGUC
RNAcentral lists this ribosomal RNA (460 nucleotides) under uncultured bacterium. RNAcentral's name for it is "partial 16S ribosomal RNA". It matches the Rfam family "Bacterial small subunit ribosomal RNA", at positions 338 to 795 of the family's 1533-position model. The record is from RNAcentral.